Molecule: ribosomal RNA, 432 nt
Filed under: uncultured bacterium
Lineage: Bacteria
Description: partial 16S ribosomal RNA
Rfam family: Bacterial small subunit ribosomal RNA
Source: RNAcentral
ACGAACGCUGGCGGCAUGCCUAACACAUGCAAGUCGAGCGAGACCUUCGGGUCUAGUGGCGCACGGGUGCGUAACGCGUGGGAACCUGCCCUUAGGUUCGGAAUAACUCCCCGAAAGGGGUGCUAAUACCGGAUAAUGUCUUCGGACCAAAGAUUUAUCGCCUUUGGAUGGGCCCGCGUUGGAUUAGCUAGUUGGUAGGGUAAAAGCCUACCAAGGCGACGAUCCAUAGCUGGUCUGAGAGGAUGAUCAGCCACACUGGGACUGAGACACGGCCCAGACUCCUACGGGAGGAAGCAGUGGGGAAUAUUGGACAAUGGGCGAAAGCCUGAUCCAGCAAUGCCGCGUGAGUGAUGAAGGCCUUAGGGUUGUAAAGCUCUUUUACCCGGGAUGAUAAUGACAGUACCGGGAGAAUAAGCUCCGGCUAACUCCGUG